RNAcentral lists this ribosomal RNA (255 nucleotides) under uncultured bacterium. Its description in RNAcentral is "partial 16S ribosomal RNA". It matches the Rfam family "Bacterial small subunit ribosomal RNA", at positions 524 to 776 of the family's 1533-position model. The record is from RNAcentral.
UACGGAGGGUGCGAGCGUUGUCCGGAAUCACUGGGCGUAAAGGGCGCGUAGGCGGCGCGGGAAGUCAUCGGUGAAAGUUCAGGGCUCAACUCUGAAUCGGCCGGUGAUACUCUCGUGCUCGAGCACUGUAGAGGCAGGUGGAAUUCCGGGUGUAGCGGUGGAAUGCGUAGAGAUCCGGAAGAACACCGGUGGCGAAGGCGGCCUGCUGGGCAGUGAGCUGACGCUGAUGCGCGACAGCGUGGGGGAGCAAACAGG